AUGGUUGGUCACAAUUGUGACAAGUCUAAGCCAAAAGGAAUGCAAUGGAAGCCAAAACCUAAGCCUAUAGAGGAGAAUAAAGAACCAGCAGUAGUUCACACCACUCUCAAUGUUACUAAGGAGCCUGAUAGUGCUACAAACAAAGAUAAGAGCACUGAUGGAGAAGAAAAAUGGUCAAAAGUUCAGAAAAGUGGAAAAGGAUAG
This is a non-coding RNA of Vicia faba (fava bean), 204 nucleotides long. The record is from the annotation of a GenBank genome assembly. NCBI's taxonomy places the organism in Eukaryota, Viridiplantae, Streptophyta, Magnoliopsida, Fabales, Fabaceae.